Long non-coding RNA from Rhagoletis pomonella (apple maggot), 1120 nucleotides. RefSeq lists it as uncharacterized. The record is from RefSeq and is a predicted model, not a curated record. Lineage: Eukaryota; Metazoa; Arthropoda; Insecta; Diptera; Tephritidae. The transcript is spliced from 3 exons.
GCGUGACGGGUUUUUCUGAGCGCAUUGUAAACGGCGAGUAAAUUAGUGAAGUAGCAGCGCAGCAAAGCGCUGAGCUUAGCAUUGUGUUAAGUGAAGGGAAGCAAAAGAAAGCUGCGACGUGCAUUGGGUGUCGACUUUUGUGGUUGAACUAGUUGAUCAUCCAGAGAUUUGAUAAUUUAUAAAGCUUCAGAGGCGGCAAAUACAUAGUGGCAACAUACUAAGUAGUGAAAAAUAAAAAUACCAAAAAAAGAAAGUAUUUUCGUGACUUGUGUUUCGUCGCUGUCCAAAGUGAAAAUUAAUUGCCCUUCUUAGCAAAAAUGAAGUGAAUAAAACUACAAUAUUAACAGCAUCAAAACUUGAAUACAACAACAGCAAACUUGCAAACGAAGCAGUCAAGUGUGUGCUGUGCAUAAAUAUAAAUAAGUAGCACAUAUGGAUAAAUCUCCUGUUUCCUGCGGAAGUCAUUACGUUUGUGAUUGUGUUGGCGAAUGCGAAAGACGAAAGUGCAGCCAAUCAGUGAUAUCUGGAACAUGUGAGACAACCGAGUCCCAACAGCAAUAACUGAGAAAUGAAACUGUCAAAACACCAGGAGAAUGCCAAACUCUGUCAACUGCGCUGUAAAGUAUGCAACAGAUAAUUAAGAACCAAAAUUAAACAAAUUUAUGAUUCCAAUAUAAACCAAACUACAAAAAUUCGCAAGUGACAGCGAAAGUGAAAUUCCGCGCGAAUAUUUCGAAUGAUUACUCUUGAUAAAUACCUAAUAUGCGGAGCAUGUGCCAGUGAACACUGAAAAUAAUAAGAGUGGAAAAGAAAAAUAAUGCAACAUAAAAUAAUAGAAAACAAAAAUAGCACAAAAGAAAACAUAUUCAUCACAGAUUGAUUGAAAACCUUAAAAAAAAAGUUUGCGAACGAAAUGAAAUGCAAAUGUGUACGAAAACGUAACGCAGCAAAGCAUUUGAAAAUAUGCACGAGUGUUUGAAAAUUCAAACCAUCAAAAAACAAAGAAAGUGCUAAAAAAAGUGUUGACGAAAAGUGCAAAAAAUUCGAAUACCAAACCAACGAAGCGUGAAAAUGCUUUGCCAAGCAAAAACUCGCAAGCAAAAACUAGUAUGUGUGUGUG